This 1154-nucleotide ribosomal RNA is filed under the name Chromobacterium haemolyticum. RNAcentral's name for it is "bacterial SSU rRNA". It matches the Rfam family "Bacterial small subunit ribosomal RNA", at positions 32 to 1178 of the family's 1533-position model. The record is from RNAcentral. Lineage: Bacteria; Pseudomonadati; Pseudomonadota; Betaproteobacteria; Neisseriales; Chromobacteriaceae.
GGCCUUGGCCGGCAUGCUUUAACAUGCAGUCGAACGGUAACAGGGUGCUUGCACCGCUGACGAGUGGCGAACGGGUGAGUAAUGCAUCGGAAUGUACCGUGUAAUGGGGGAUAGCUCGGCGAAAGCCGGAUUAAUACCGCAUACGCCCUGAGGGGGAAAGUGGGGGACCGAAAGGCCUCACGUUAUACGAGCAGCCGAUGUCUGAUUAGCUAGUUGGUGGGGUAAAGGCUCACCAAGGCGACGAUCAGUAGCGGGUCUGAGAGGAUGAUCCGCCACACUGGGACUGAGACACGGCCCAGACUCCUACGGGAGGCAGCAGUGGGGAAUUUUGGACAAUGGGCGCAAGCCUGAUCCAGCCAUGCCGCGUGUCUGAAGAAGGCCUUCGGGUUGUAAAGGACUUUUGUCCGGGAGCAAAUCCCAGUGGUUAACACCUACUGGGGCUGAGAGUACCGGAAGAAUAAGCACCGGCUAACUACGUGCCAGCAGCCGCGGUAAUACGUAGGGUGCAAGCGUUAAUCGGAAUUACUGGGCGUAAAGCGUGCGCAGGCGGUUGUGCAAGUCUGAUGUGAAAGCCCCGGGCUUAACCUGGGAACGGCAUUGGAGACUGCACGACUAGAGUGCGUCAGAGGGGGGUAGAAUUCCGCGUGUAGCAGUGAAAUGCGUAGAGAUGCGGAGGAAUACCGAUGGCGAAGGCAGCCCCCUGGGAUGACACUGACGCUCAUGCACGAAAGCGUGGGGAGCAAACAGGGAUUAGAUACCCUGGUAGUCCACGCCCUAAACGAUGUCAACUAGCUGUUGGGGGUUUGAAUCCUUGGUAGCGAAGCUAACGCGAGAAGUUGACCGCCUGGGGAGUACGGCCGCAAGGUUAAAACUCAAAGGAAUUGACGGGGACCCGCACAAGCGGUGGAUGAUGUGGAUUAAUUCGAUGCAACGCGAAAAACCUUACCUGGUCUUGACAUGUAACGAACGCUGCAGAGAUGUGGUGGUGCCCGAAAGGGAGCGUUAACACAGGUGCUGCAUGGCCUGUCGUCAGCUCGUGUCGUGAGAUGUUGGUUAAGGUCCCGCAACGAGCGCAACCUCUUGCCAUUAAGCUGCCAUCAUAAGGUUGGGCACCUCUAUGGGAACUGCCGGUGAACAAACCGGAGAAGGUGGGA